GAUGAACGCUGGCGGCGUGCCUAAUACAUGCAAGUCGAGCGAACAGACGAGGAGUUUGCUCCUCUGACGUUAGCGGCGGACGGGUGUGUAACAUGAGGAUAACCUACAUAUAAGACUGGGAUAACUUCGGGAAACCGGAGUUAAUACCGGAUAAUAUAUUGAACCGCAUGGUUCAAUAGUGAAAGACGGUUUUGCUGUCACUUAUACAUGGAUCCGAGUCGCGUUAGCUAGUUGGUAAGGUAACGGCUUACCAAGGCGACGAUGCGUAGCCGAGCUGAGAGGGGGAGCUGACACGCCGGAACUGAGACGCGGUCCAGACCCCAACGCGAGGCGACAGUGGGGAAGCUAACGCUAGGGGCGGAAGGCUGACGGAACAGCGCCGCGUGAGGUAUGAGGGUCUGGGGAUCGUAAAACUCUGUUAUUAGGGAAGAACAAAUGUGUAAGUAACUAUGCACGUCGUGACGGUACCUAAUCAGAAAGCCACGGCUAACUACGUG
RNAcentral lists this ribosomal RNA (497 nucleotides) under uncultured bacterium. RNAcentral's name for it is "partial 16S ribosomal RNA". It matches the Rfam family "Bacterial small subunit ribosomal RNA", at positions 28 to 507 of the family's 1533-position model. The record is from RNAcentral.